AAGUGUACAGGCAGAGAUGAAUGUGUGUGGCUUUAGCAGAUCCACACUCAUCCAGGGAUAACUGGACCAUGGGGGCAGGGUGGGAGUGGAGAGAAGUCAUCAUAGGAUGGUAAUCAGGUGCUUGCAGGGAGAAGAGAAGGAAAAGCAGAUGAGUGAACAAGGGCAGAUGGUGCUGGAGAAUUCCAUCAAGUGGGCAUCAAGAAGGGACUGGAGGUUAAAACCUUUGGGAUAAAGAAGAAGAAAAAAAGACAAGCUGGUAAAAAGUAAGGUCUGGGGGGUGGAGGCAAGAAGGGGAGUUGCUAAAAACUCUAGAAUAAGCAGUAAGACAUCUUUCAAUAAAACUGCCCCUUCCCAGAUGGCACCUGGGCACUGUUUGCUGGGCACAAACAUGGCACUGUUUCCUAGGAGAUGAUUCCUCCAGUUCUUUAAGGUAGUAAUGAAUGACAACAAGAAGUUACUUCUCUAUGCUACACACGGUGUAGAAUCCAGAGCCUGACUGGCUGUGACGCGCCCAUGGUGACACCAAGGGGACUCUGCAUGGGCACAUCCCGGCCCUCCUCCCUGCAUGUUCUCCAAGCCAGGUCUUUGAAACCUCCAGUGAUGGGAAUGACAGAAUCUGGGAUGAUUUUCUUCUGUUUCUUAUCUAAAAAAACAACAAAAAGCUCAGCAUACACGGACUCACACAAACCUUUUGCUAGAGGCAGCUCUGUAGACUUAAGACGCUGUCAUUUUUCAGAAGAACCCAGCUUGCUUUGGAACUACAGUCAGCCCUGCAACCCACCCUCACCUUGGACCCUGCUGCUGCUGUCUGUAAAGGGUCUGGAUGAAGGAAGGGAGCCUCCAGCUUGUCGGCUGUACUUGCCCAGAAUUUAGCCUUUGCAACAUGGAGCUGCGGGGAUGGGAAAUGUUGUCCACUAGCCUUCCACAAUGCUGCGAUGAAUACACCUGUGCAUUCUUUUUUAGAACAAGUGUAAGAAUUCCUAUGUGGCUGGACGGUACUGCUGCCAUCUCGGCUCACUGCAACCUCC
This 1028-nucleotide long non-coding RNA is filed under the name Homo sapiens (human). Its description in RNAcentral is "HSALNT0358334". The record is from RNAcentral. Lineage: Eukaryota; Metazoa; Chordata; Mammalia; Primates; Hominidae.